GACCGAAAAGAAGACGAAUUGCCCGAGGAGGAAAUUGAAAAACAAGAGCAUUUUUUCAAGGAAGUGGCUGAAAAUGGGGCAGAUAAGGAAGCGAGAUGUCUCUGAAAAGCCCUUGUUGACGGCGGUUCGUACAGAGGCACCAUAAAAGUCAACAUUGAAUCGGAUGAUGGUUUCCGCUGAAGAUUCGGAUUUCAGGAAACUAAGCGUGUUGUGGGCGGUUUUUGGUCAGCAACCCGACGAAAAUCAAACAAAAACUAAGUAUGUAGAAAGCCUUUGAAUUGCUUAUUUGGACGAGAGUUCGAUUCUCUC
RNAcentral lists this unclassified non-coding RNA (309 nucleotides) under Capnocytophaga canimorsus. RNAcentral's name for it is "tmRNA". It matches the Rfam family "transfer-messenger RNA", at positions 82 to 363 of the family's 374-position model. From Rfam's summary of the family: Bacterial tmRNA, also known as 10Sa RNA or SsrA, is named for its dual tRNA and mRNA-like properties. The record is from RNAcentral. Lineage: Bacteria; Pseudomonadati; Bacteroidota; Flavobacteriia; Flavobacteriales; Flavobacteriaceae.